Carica papaya (papaya) is the source of this 3079-nucleotide non-coding RNA. The record is from RefSeq and is a predicted model, not a curated record. Lineage: Eukaryota; Viridiplantae; Streptophyta; Magnoliopsida; Brassicales; Caricaceae.
CAAGUUUUCUGGUUAUCACUUUAAGCUAUAUAUCCUAAGCAAACUAAUAUAAUGAUUUUCAAAAACUAAUUUAUCCAUAAUGUGGUUAUACUUGGUUCUCAUAGGAGAAUCUAUGGCAGAUUCUGACAUUAAUUGUGUGGACAAUAAUGUUUCUUUGUUGAUAGUAUGUAUUGAUUGACAGCUUUUAGGUUUAAAUAUUACUGGUUUGAAUUUGUUAAAUGUGAUUACUUGGAUUUUGAAUCUGGUUUCCUGUGUUUACAUCUAAAUAUGUGAUAUCUAAAUGUUGAUUAUAUCAGGUUGAAAGCCUUUUACCAAUUAGGGAAUGCGGAUGGAUACUGGAACUAAAUUCUAGGUGGGAAAAAGCACCAGAUUGAAAGCAUUGUAUCUUGGAACAUUUGAUGUCUCCACCUGUCUUUAUGUCAGUGGUCAACCAAGAGAUACAUCCAGACAACUAUAGCCCCAUAGUGCUGAAAAUGCACUGGAUACUUCCUCAUGCAUGUAAGUUCCAGAACUUCAAUUUUAUUGAGUAAGAUACUUGCCUGAGUUUUCGGUAUUGACAGCACAAUAGAUAUUUCUUUCUCGCCGGUCUCCAUCUGUUGGAGUAUAUCGACCUCAUUAAAUAUUGUAAAUUCAGUCAGAUCCUUUGAUUCAUCUUCUUUGAUAUCACUAGUAUCUGCAAGAUUAUAGAUGUGGUUGUUGUACUGAUCUGUAUCAACAAUAUUAUCGCACUCAAACACUCAAUCAACUUCUCCUGGAUCCAAUAGCAAGUUGAGAUCCAAUGGCUGUAGCUUAAGUAGAGAAGGAUUGGUAGAACUAAAAAAUUGUGAACUUUAAAACCAAAUCAAGAGGAUUGUAAAUUUUAGUUCUAUCAAUCCUGCCCUACUUAAGUUACAACCAUUAGACCUCCACCUGCUAUGGAUUCAAGAGAAGUCGAUCGCUUGCUUGAGUGCGAUAACAUUAUUGAUACAGAUUAGAACAACAACCACAUCUAUGAUCUUGCAGAUAUUGGUGAAAUAAAAAAAGAUGAAUUAAAGGAUCUGACUAAACUUACAGUAUUUAAUGAGGUUGAUAUACUCCAGCAGAUGGAGACCGACAUUGAAAAAAUAUCUAACAGGUGCGCAGAGCCAGAGCCUGGCAUGUUCGCCUGGUCGUGCUGUCAAUAUCAAAAUCCCAGGCGAGCAUCUUACUCCUCAAUCGUAGAGAGAAAGAAUAAGAGUGUAAAGUGGUUUCCUGCUCCAGACUGCAAGCUGUGGUAGGGAGUAAUGGAUUCAUGAUGUGUCAUGUGCACGUUACCCCAAAUUUUGCUAGCAUUGUAGCCACAAGGCUCACUGUCCUGUAGACUGUGACAGUAUGAAGCAAUGGAUGUUGAAGAACAAGUUAGACAGAGGUAACAUGGAGUGGUAUUACUGAAUAUAUAUGCAAGCUGAUCUUUUAAGAUUGUAUAAAAAUAUCUCCGCACAAUUUGGAAAAUAUCUGAGGAAUUUUUGUUAAUGAAAGAGUUCGUUGUACAGCAAAGCGAGCUUGUUUUUCUUGCACUUUGCGAGAGAAUACAAUGUGUUGGACCUUCUGUUCCCUAAUAAGUUGUAAAGAAAUCUCUGUGAAGCUCUUUUUUCUCAACCAAGAGGCUUUGCCUCUUGCAUCUUUUCCUCCAGAACGUUGAAAAGAUUUUCUUUUCUCAUAGACGCUAUGUUCUUAGAUGGUUCACAUCCAUUUAUCUUUCCAAUCUUAAAGAGCGUCUGGGAGGUGUCAUUUUCACUGAUGGUGAUUUGUUAGGGAAUUAUUCAUCAUGCCCAAUGUUGAAAUUUGUGCAAUUAUGGACUGCAAUAUCUUUUCUAAAGGUUCUAAAUGUCUCUGCUCUCAGACUCAAAUAUCUUUAGAUAGACUAUUUUCGUGGGCUCAAAAACAUUGAGAUCAAUCUUCAUACUUGAAGUCUUAUAUCACUUAUACUGGGAGGAAAUCUUGCACAAAACUAUCAUAUUCGGGACGGUCCUAUUCAUUAUGUAGAUAUUCAAGUUGGAGAAGUUUACAGAAACCAAAUGAGUAUAGAUGUUUCUAGUUAGUCUGCGUUUAAGUUGCUGACUGAAAUCUGUAAUGUUACCGUACUAGCUGUGGAUAAUUUGUUUCGGGAGGUAUAUGCUUUGUCCAUUUCUUCUACUUAUUGAGUUUUCAUAUUUUUGGCUAAUUACUUGAUUUCUUUAAUGCAUCCUCUUACCGUUCCUUUUAAAACAUUCAAUUAACCCAUGAAAUUCCUUUCCUUUUAAUACACAGAAGAUUACGAUCCUCCUCGAUAGAAUGUCAAAUGUAUAUAAUGCCUACUUUCUAAUGAUUGCACAAGAAGAGACUUUAUUCUUGUCCACUUAGGAAUGGAAUUCAGAAAACCAUGUGACUGUUGGGAUUCCAAAUUUUCUGGAAUAUGUUUACAUUAACAUGUCUUUUGGACAUGAAAUUGGCCAUCUCUAUCUUUCAGAAUAGUACUUAAGCGAUGAUGGAAAGAAGUAUAAGAUUAUUGAGAAGUUAUUAGUACUUCCAAGAACUUCAACAAAAGCAGAAGUACUUCUGUUGUAGUUUAAAUUUUAGGUUCUCAAAAGAGGAAAAAAUCAAAUUGCUGAAUGGUUCAUGUGUGGACAACAAAGAGAAUUAGUGUUUGACAUAGACGAAACAAAAGUUUAAGUCUUUUGUCCUGUAUCUCGGGACACUUACGUUAAUGAGGCUAUCGCGUCCCUUUCGAGAAGACCAAGGAUAAAAGGGGCCUAUCUUGAUAGGAUUAGAUAGUUUAACCUCUUGAUGAAACUAGUGCUUACUUUGUCAAAUAAAUGUACAUUUUAUUCAAUCUUUUUUUAUACUAAGGGCCAAAUUUUAUGGCCCCAAUGCUGUGAUAUAGUUGUCUAUAUGUAUUAUAUGUACAGAUAGCAUGUAGAAAGAAACUCAGAAGUCAGGAAAUUAGAAAACUUAUCAUGAGAUUAGAGUAUGGAGAAGGAGAUGUAGCAGCUUGUUUUUCUUCUUUGUCAUAAUCUCCUUUUGAAUGUAAUGUAAUGGAAUUGCAAAAGUUUUGGAAUUUAAAGGAUUCCUCUUUGAAGCA